UACGGAGGGGGCUAGCGUUGUUCGGAAUUACUGGGCGUAAAGCGCACGUAGGCGGCUUUGUAAGUUAGAGGUGAAAGCCCAGGGCUCAACCCUGGAAUUGCCUUUAAGACUGCAUCGCUUGAAUUGUGGAGAGGUAAGUGGAAUUCCGAGUGUAGAGGUGAAAUUCGUAGAUAUUCGGAAGAACACCAGUGGCGAAGGCGACUUACUGGACACAUAUUGACGCUGAGGUGCGAAAGCGUGGGGAGCGAACAGG
Molecule: ribosomal RNA, 253 nt
Filed under: uncultured bacterium
Lineage: Bacteria
Description: partial 16S ribosomal RNA
Rfam family: Bacterial small subunit ribosomal RNA
Source: RNAcentral